CGGACGGGUGAGUAAUGCUUGGGAAUCUAGCUUAUGGAGGGGGAUAACUACGGGAAACUGUAGCUAAUACCGCGUAAUAUCGAAAGAUUAAAGUGUGGGACCUUCGGGCCACAUGCCAUAAGAUGAGCCCAAGUGGGAUUAGGUAGUUGGUGAGGUAAAGGCUCGCCAAGCCGACGAUCUCUAGCUGGUCUGAGAGGAUGACCAGCCACACUGGGACUGAGACACGGCCCAG
RNAcentral lists this ribosomal RNA (232 nucleotides) under uncultured bacterium. Its description in RNAcentral is "partial 16S ribosomal RNA". It matches the Rfam family "Bacterial small subunit ribosomal RNA", at positions 99 to 334 of the family's 1533-position model. The record is from RNAcentral.